AGUAGCGGCGAGCGAAGCGGGAAGAGCUCAAAUUUAUAAUCUGGCACCUUCGGUGUCCGAGUUGUAAUCUCUAGAAAUGUUUUCCGCGUUGGACCGCACACAAGUCUGUUGGAAUACAGCGGCAUAGUGGUGAGACCCCCGUAUAUGGUGCGGACGCCCAGCGCUUUGUGAUACAUUUUCGAAGAGUCGAGUUGUUUGGGAAUGCAGCUCAAAUUGGGUGGUAAAUUCCAUCUAAAGCUAAAUAUUGGCGAGAGACCGAUAGCGAACAAGUACCGUGAGGGAAAGAUGAAAAGCACUUUGGAAAGAGAGUUAACAGUACGUGAAAUUGUUGGAAGGGAAACGCUUGAAGUCAGACUUGCUUGCCGAGCAAUCGGUUUGCAGGCCAGCAUCAGUUUUCCGGGAUGGAUAAUGGUAGAGAGAAGGUAGCAGUUUCGGCUGUGUUAUAGCUCUCUGCUGGAUACAUCUUGGGGGACUGAGGAACGCAGUGUGCCUUUGGCGGGGGUUUCGACCUCUUCACACUUAGGAUGCUGGUGGAAUGGCUUUAAACGACCCGUCUUGAAACACGGACCAAGGAGUCUAACAUGCUUGCGAGUAUUUGGGUGUCAAACCCGGAUGCGUAAUGAAAGUGAAUGGAGGUGGGAACCGCAAGGUGCACCAUCGACCGAUCUGGAUUUUUAAUGAUGGAUUUGAGUAAGAGCACGUAUGUUGGGACCCGAAAGAUGGUGAACUAUGCCUGAAUAGGGCGAAGCCAGAGGAAACUCUGGUGGAGGCUCGUAGCGGUUCUGACGUGCAAAUCGAUCGUCAAAUUUGGGUAUAGGGGCGAAAGAC
This 828-nucleotide ribosomal RNA is filed under the name Rhodotorula mucilaginosa. RNAcentral describes it as "LSU rRNA". It matches the Rfam family "Eukaryotic large subunit ribosomal RNA", at positions 82 to 931 of the family's 3401-position model. The record is from RNAcentral. Lineage: Eukaryota; Fungi; Basidiomycota; Microbotryomycetes; Sporidiobolales; Sporidiobolaceae.